AAAAUUUUCCUAAACAGCAGUGUCUGUGUUUUCAGAGUUCCAGCUGUGAUCUUUAGGAGAAGAUCUGAACUUCAACAUGAGCUUUUCUGGGGAACCACACUCAGAGAAAAGCCAGAGUCUGAAUCAGUUAAAGGCAUCGGAAUCUCCUGUUCUCAGCCAUGUGUCCAUGAAGAGUGACCAUUCUAUGACGCCUUCCAUAGAUUUCAAAGAUGGAGAUGAUUUUCCUGCUUUAGGUCUGAAUCAGUUAAAGGCACCGGAAUCUCCUGUUCUCAGCCAUGUGUCCAUGAAGAGUGACUAUUCUAUGACGCUUUCCAUAGGUUUCAAAGAUGGAGAUGAUUUCCCUGCUUUAGGGUAAGAAUUAUGGAAGAAAUGCAACUUCUGCAUCACUAUUUACUUUGAGUAUACUAGAAAUGUUAUAUAA
This 421-nucleotide long non-coding RNA is filed under the name Astyanax mexicanus (Mexican tetra). RNAcentral's name for it is "lncRNA (ENSAMXG00005007870.1)". The record is from RNAcentral. Lineage: Eukaryota; Metazoa; Chordata; Actinopteri; Characiformes; Acestrorhamphidae.